CUCUUUCCCCUCUUGCCCCUCUCCAGCUUUUCUGGUCCAACCCUCUUCUGCGCCUAACACUGGCACCUCCUUUUCUUCCGGCUGAUGAAUAAUUGUCCGCAAACCAGCCUCUCUGGGGCACUGAGGGGCGGGAAGGUUAGAAGGAGCCAGGGCUAGAGUCCUGGAAGGUGGCAGUCAGGUCGCAGGGCCACAGCAGUCACUCUGCGACUCUCUCUUCCGGUGUUUCUCCAGCGCCAAGCGGGAGAAGACGGAGCCUGGGAGCUGGGACUGGAGGAGCGGGAAGCGCAGUAUCGGGACCACGGCUCUGGGACCAGGAAAAACGCAGACUCUCCAGAGUCAAUGUCUACUUCAGCCAGCUCAAGGGCGCGACAACCUGGCGCCGAGCAUCUCAGGCCGCCGCGGGGACCCCCCCUAAGGGACUCGGGAACACCUGCCUACCCUAGAAGAGGCGGAGAAUAACCCCGUAGGGAGUUAAGCGGCCUCUGCCUACAGCGUUCCUCCCGCCUCCACGGCGCCGAGCCCUGAUUGACGUUCAGCCAGGCCAAUCAUAGCCUGUGUCUGAGGCGCGCGGAGCUGGAGCGCCCAGGGCAUGUCCGCCGAUCCCAAGGAGGCAAUCUGUCAGGCGCCGCCCGGGCGGCAGUAUGCCUGAGGGGGUCCUCCGUGUUCGCGCCUCCCGCCGCCUGCACUGAAAGGUCUGUACCUGAGCCUGGAUACUUGAACAGAGGCAGACACUGCGGCUCAAAACCCCAAGGAAUAUCCUAGCUCUGAGACAAAAAUUGGGAACCUCAGCAUGAGUUUGUCACCUGAAUGAAAUAAAAAAAAUCACGUUGAAGGCUGGUGCAGUAACAUGUGCCUGUAGUCCCAGCUACUCUGGAGGCUGAGUCAGGAGGAUCACUUGAGACCAGAAGUUCAGGAAUUCAAGACUGGCUUGAGCAACAUAGCAAGACUUCAUUUCAAAACAAACAGAAAAAAGCCACCACCUUCAGUAUUUCUUGCCAAAGCAAAGGAGCCAUUUGUUCUUUACGAUGGUCAGGAAAGGAAGCAUCAAGGUCAUCAAAUGAAAAAUUUUCAGCAUUUCAGCCUCUCUGCUCAGGGAAAUACCUGAAUCUAGAAUAUCACAACAUGAGCCAAAACCGCCCCAUUUCUCAUGCCACAUGUCACUCUUAACACAAGGUUACUCAACCUCGAGCAUGGUUGGCAUUUGGGGCUGAAUAAUUCUUUUUUGUAGGGGGCUGUCCUGGGCAUUGUAGGAUGCUCAUGAGCUACCUCAGUCUCUACCACCCACUAGAUGCCAGUAGCAUUGACCCCUGAUCUCUCUACCCAAGUUGUGACAACUAAAACCAUCUCUGGAUAAUGGAGGAACCUUAAAUGCAUAUUGCUAAGGAAAAGCCAAUCUGAAAGGAUUACAUAUUGUAUGAGUCCAACUAUAUGGUAAUCUGGAAAAGGCAAAACCAUGGAGACAGUGAAAAGGUAGUGGUUACCAGUGGUCCAUGGGAAGGGUUGGAUGAAUAGGUGGAGCACAGAGGAUUUUUAAGGCAGUGAAACUAUUCUGAAUGAUACUGUAAUGGUGGAUACAUGUCAUACCUUUGUCAAAACCAAUAAAAUAUAACAACCAAUAAAACUGCACAAAGAGUGAACCCUAAUGUAAACUAUGGACUUAAUAAUGUAUCAAUAUUGGCUCACCAAUUUUAACAAAUGUACCACACUAAUGCAAGAUGUUACUAAUAGUGGAAACUGGAGGGAAGAGGGCUUGAGGGGACAUACAGGAACUCUCUGUAAUUCCUGUUCAGUUUUUCUGUAACUGUUAAACUGUCCAAAAAAAGUCUGUUUUUAUAAAUGGAGGCAUGGUUUUAUAUGGACUAAAAUACUAUGAUUGCCUUUUUAUUUUACACAUGGUGAAAUUAGAGCAGGACAUAUUUUAAACUCAAAAUUCACAAAAUUAAUUUAUGAAAAUGUUUACCCAGAUCAAGAAUAUUAAAGAAACUUAGAUUAAUAUUGUUACCUUGAAUUUAUUUUACUGAGUAAUCCUCUAAGACUCCUCUACACAUUAUUAAUCUAGAAGGAUUUUUAAAGUCUUUAUGACAAUUAAUUAUUGGUCUACAGUCAAAUUGCAUAUCCCCAUUAACUAGAGUUAUAUUUUUCCAUUUUCUGAUCCAAAAACUUUAGGAACAGGAAAUGUUUAUUUUAGAAAACAAGAACACUUCUUAAGCAUUUGCUGUUAACAGUUAUUUUCACAUGUGCUUGUACUUAUUUUACACUUGUCAGAACAUAGUAUUUACCUUUGAACCAAGGUUUUAUAAUAAGCAAGCACUUUUUUUAUUUAGAAGUCACAUUUUCCAAGUAGAAAAAUCAUUAAAAAUUCAGUCCUCUGAAGGCUAAUUUCUUUAAAUCAUUUAACCUAAUUGUUUAAGGUAUAGAUUGGAAUUUUUCUCAGCACUCUCUUGAAAACAGGUGACAGUGGAACCCUGUUAGGUUCACAAAUCCUAGACUUUGAUUAUAUAGCCCAGGCUCAAAUUUUUCUCGAAUGUUACGAACAUUCAAAGCAUUAGGAGUCUUGGUUUCAUUUCUUAAUUUUUUUUCUUCUGGGUAUAUUUGAGACUCAUCUUGGAUUCAAAUAAAUUAAUAAUAGUCUCAUGAAACCGAUAAAAAUGGGAGCUCCAUUGAACAUGAGAGACAUUGAUUCGUAGUUUCUAACAUCCUCCAAAUGAGGAGCCCAUCCCUAAUUUAGAUGCUUCUUUCAAAGGAGGCUCCUUUCCUUCGUUAUCCAUAAUAUAGUCACACCAGUCCUGAAAAAACAUGGAACAGACUCCAGAUCUUUAUAUUUCAUACUCUAAAGUCGUACAAGCCAAUCUGCAUUUCCUCUAGUGGAAACUGUAUAGCUGGUCAUCUUUCCAGGACCCUUUUAUCAAGAAACAAUGCAGCUUCUACAUUUGUGCUGCUUCUACACCAAAACAGCUGGAAUGUAUAUAGUAUGGUUCUGGAUGCUCUUGUAUACCUCACUCUUCAUUUCUCACCUAACCCAUGUGCUAUGAUUUGAAUGUUUCUCCCCUGCAAAACUCAUGUUGAAAUGUAAUUGCCAUGAUAACAGUAUUAAUAGGUGGAAUAUUUAAGAGGUGAUUAGGGUGGGAUUGGUGAUGUUAUAAAAGGGUAAGUUCAGCCCCUUCUUGCUCUCUCUGUCACCCUUCCACCUUCCUCUGUGUGAUGAUGCAACAAAAAAGCCCUUCCCAGAUGCCAGCAUCUUGAUUUUGGACUUCUCAGCCUACAGAACUAUAAGCCAAUAAAUUUCUGUUAUUUGUUAUUAGUCUGUGAUAUUCUGUUACAGUAGCACAAAAUGGACUAUGACACCAUGUGUUUACACAGAAAGAAAAAAAUAUCAUACGGUAAUUGCUCCUAAAUAUGCAGAGAAUAUGUUCUGAUAUCCUUAGUGGAUGCCUGAAACUGCAGAUAGUACCAAACCUUAUAUAUACUAUGUUUUUUUUCCCAUACAUAUGCAUGUUAAAGUUUAUAAGUUAGGCAGAGUAAGAUAUGAACAAUAACUAAUAAUGAAAUAGAAACGUAACGAUGUGCUGUAAUAAAAGUUAUGUGACUGAC
RNAcentral lists this long non-coding RNA (3591 nucleotides) under Homo sapiens (human). RNAcentral's name for it is "long non-coding RNA NONHSAT117829.2". Lineage: Eukaryota; Metazoa; Chordata; Mammalia; Primates; Hominidae. The record is from RNAcentral.